RNAcentral lists this long non-coding RNA (423 nucleotides) under Solanum tuberosum (potato). RNAcentral's name for it is "long non-coding RNA (STUB_LNC011326)". Lineage: Eukaryota; Viridiplantae; Streptophyta; Magnoliopsida; Solanales; Solanaceae. The record is from RNAcentral.
GGUGGGUUUGGUUUUAGGUGGGUCUGGCAAUGGGUGGUUGCUCUGUCUUUUGUUGUUCGUGGGUCUGGAGGUAGCGAGCAAAAAAGGGGAAAAUGGGUUGGGGUUGUUUCUGGUUGAUUGGGGGAAGAGAGAAUAAGGGCCGAUAGUGGUGGUGGACUGAUGGAGCUUUGAGAUCUGGUCGGAGAAGAAGAGAACAGAGCUGGUUUCUGGUUGUGUUGGCGUGGUGGAGUUCGUCGGAAAUGGCGAAAUGAGAUUAGACAGAAGGGGGUCUAGUGGGGAACCUUGUCACCGGAGAACGAAGACAAAAAAUGGGGGUUGAGUUUGCCGGAGUUUGGCCGGAAUCCGGGGUGGUGGUGACCUAAAUAAUGAAAAGUAAAACCCUUUAUGAAUAAGAAUCUGAAAAUCUACAAUCAUAAUCUAAAA